GGGGCUGAUUCUGGAUUCGACGGGAUUUGCGAAACCCAAGGUGCAUGCCGAGGGGCGGUUGGCCUCGUAAAAAGCCGCAAAAAAAUAGUCGCAAACGACGAAAACUACGCUUUAGCAGCUUAAUAACCUGCUUAGAGCCCUCUCUCCCUAGCCUCCGCUCUUAGGACGGGGAUCAAGAGAGGUCAAACCCAAAAGAGAUCGCGUGGAUGCCCUGCCUGGGGUUGAAGCGUUAAAACUAAUCAGGCUAGUCUGGUAGUGGCGUGUCCGUCCGCAGGUGCCAGGCGAAUGUAAAGACUGACUAAGCAUGUAGUACCGAGGAUGUAGGAAUUUCGGACGCGGGUUCAACUCCCGCCAGCUCCACCA
RNAcentral lists this transfer-messenger RNA (363 nucleotides) under Salmonella enterica subsp. enterica serovar Infantis. It matches the Rfam family "transfer-messenger RNA". From Rfam's summary of the family: Bacterial tmRNA, also known as 10Sa RNA or SsrA, is named for its dual tRNA and mRNA-like properties. Its role is to liberate the mRNA from a stalled ribosome. The record is from RNAcentral. RNAcentral also lists the same sequence under 97 other names. Lineage: Bacteria; Pseudomonadati; Pseudomonadota; Gammaproteobacteria; Enterobacterales; Enterobacteriaceae.